ACUUCGCACUAUAUUCAAGACCCAGCAGAAGAUGUUGGAGGUGCCCACGUACUUGGGAGCUUUUAUUUUAAGCUGUGCCCACCUGGAGUCCCCAGGACUGAUCAUGAUCACCUGGAAGACAGUCAAGAGGCAGGUGGCUCCAAUGGCCACAUCCCUGCCCACUCUGUGAACAAAGAAAACAAGUCUGCAUCCAAAAUCAUCGAGAAAAUGUGUCAACCCAAAAGAUGCCAUUGUUUGAGGGAUUCCUUUAGAAAAAAUAACUAAGAGGUUGGCUACAGUCAGAUACUUAAGAAUCAAGUCUGUGCACCUAAGCUUGUAUCCUGUCAAAUAAAGGAAGAGAUAAUAGUAAAAAACAGAGAAAUUCCCCAGAAGUCCAACUGUAGUUUGUAAGAAAAAGAUCAUUGCCAUCGUCAAAUCCCUGGUGGUCAUUCUGUAAAAUCCCAGGGAGUGAAAUUCUUCUUCUGAGCCAGGUUCCUGCAUGGGAACAGGAGGUGUGAGGCACGUGUGUCACAUUGGUUAAAAUCCAAUGUUCUCCACUUA
Molecule: long non-coding RNA, 540 nt
Filed under: Lynx pardinus (Iberian lynx)
Lineage: Eukaryota; Metazoa; Chordata; Mammalia; Carnivora; Felidae
Source: RNAcentral